Hemicordylus capensis (graceful crag lizard) is the source of this 831-nucleotide long non-coding RNA. RefSeq lists it as uncharacterized. The record is from RefSeq and is a predicted model, not a curated record. The transcript has 3 exons. NCBI's taxonomy places the organism in Eukaryota, Metazoa, Chordata, Lepidosauria, Squamata, Cordylidae.
AAGAAUGUGGCCCCAGGAUAUGUCUUUGGGUAUAUCAAGCCCCAGUUCCAUCAUCCAGUAUGUUCUUUGUGCACCAUCUACCUUGGAGUCACCAGCAGCUGCUUGGGUGAUUUACUGUUCACAGGCCAUCACUCCAGGCUGUGUUCUUUGUGCCACUCUCCAGAUCUGUUUUAUUGCCUAGCCUGAUCUGCCCAGUCUUCCUUGCCAACUAAGGAAGCUGGUUCCAUGGAGGAAGCACCCUUGUGGAGUCACCUCUAUCCAACUAACCCUUCUGGCUUUUUCACCCCUGCCUCUGACCGAGUUGUCCCUGAGGAAUGAAGUCUUUCAGUUGUUCCAGGAGCACUGAGGUUUCUUCGUCCAGAUCAGGCUUUGGCCUCUCUCAUUUUUUGUCUUCCUCUUUCUGGAGCAUAAGAGUACUUCAAUAGCAGCAUUCCAGACACAAGAAAUCCUGGGACAUGUAAUUUUCCAGGACUCUUAAAGCUGUGUUUUCCUGGAUUCUUGUUCCGAGAAUGUCACUUUUAAAUAUCCGGCCUGAAGGAAGGAGCAGGAGGAGAAAAUCCCUUGGGAAUGUGAUUUUCACUGUAUCAGAAUGCUUCCAGAGCACAUGGAGCACUUUGAAAGCAAGAAUACCAACACUUCAGAAGUGCAGAGACUAGCAUGGGGCCUGAAGAACAGUGAAAGCAACAAUGUGAUGUCCUGAACCCAUGUUCAGGAGAGACAAAUUAUUUCUACCAAGAGAAUAAUUCAGCAGAAUAUGUCUGCAGACUGAAACAGACUGCUUGUGAAUGAUGUAGCCCUCAACUAAUUGUGUAAGAUAACAUCUUAAUGAUG